CCGGGGCUGCAGCGACAGGAAAUAGUGAACAGGAACUGUGCAUGCCCAUAUAUGGGAACUGAGUGUGUACAGAAAGAACACAGAGAGAGAGAUUUAACUCUAGGCACAUGAAGCAAAUGAAGCCUUUAAGAAAAAUGUAUAUAUUACUAAUUAUAUGGUUUAGUGUGUCAAUACAGGUGGGCGUCUUUCAACUUUGCAACCUUGAGUUCAGCAGCAGAAAAGUAGAUUAAAAGAAUUGGGAGAAAAUAAGCCAGUCUUUGGCUCGAAAUUGUGCAGCUUGAGCUCUUACUUUGUCCUUCACCCCGAGAAGACACGCAAAAGACAGUUAAUCACCUGAUGAAGACAGAUAGAACAUCGUGGGCUUGAAUACAGCAGGCAAACGACAGGGCCACUGAUCCAUUAACACUGAUGACGACUGACGACCAGCAGCAGCAUGUAAGACUAAUGCAACAUGUACUGUGAAAAUACAGGCUGGGCAGUUGAACAGUGGGAUAAAGAAUUGUGGAAGAGCACUGGACAUUGAGUGAUAUUUUGCCAUGCUGGGACUUAAUCUGAAAGAAAAGACUGUAAAGAAACAGAGAAGAAGACAGCAGCUGAGUUGAGACUGUGUUUGCUGGAGCUUUGAAGCCCGAACAGGACAUUGUGCAGAGAGGACCAGUGAGAGAUGAAGCUGGACGAGUUUGACUGCGAGAAUAUAGGAUAUAAUUGGAUUGAAAAUUGAAGCCUGAACUCAUGAAUUGUUUAGGGAUGUCCACUACAGCAUAACAAAGAGGUAAACAUUAGAAAAGGAGUAAAGCAGACUUGGACCGGCUCUCCACAGCAGCAGUCGGAAGAAAGUUAGAGGUUAACAUCUAUGGAUAACUUAAGGCAAGUUUCUGGUUGAAUUGUUCACAGCAUGAUGUGUCCAGGAACCUGAAAAGCAAGCCCUAGCUCCUGGCUGAAGACUAGGAGUGCUUUAUUUAAGGUGGGAAAUCAAAACAGAGGGUUAGUAAUUCGGGGAAAAAGAAAACUGACUGCUUAACUGGAGAAUUGGAAAGGUGUCUGACAGACUGCGAAGCCAUGGAUGCAAAAUACCACACACAAACAGAAAAUGUAUUAACCGUACAAAGACAAGCUCAUGAAGCUUGUCUAAUCAAAGCUUAAUGCAUAGAGAUAUUGAUUUAAAACCUGGCUAAGAACAUAAGCAUAUGCAAUGAAGAUCUGCUUGCUGCUUGUAUGAGUGAGAGAAUGGUGUGAAUGGUUAAUAAAAUUGAUGGAAAGAUUUAAAAUAGAUGGAAAAACACAAGAAAACUAUUAAAGCAGUUUUUAAAAGGGUGACUUAGGAGUGCUCUUGCACUGAUUGAUCAAAACAAGUGAUUAGUAUAGAAAGAAAAUGAAAAUAAUUGAAUAAUAUGAUAAGUUUAAACAUGUAUUUCUCUUGUCAAGUUGGCUGUUGAGCUGUGAGUCACUAUGCAAAUUAGCUCGAGUGAGUGACGACAGAGGAGCUUGCUGUGUGUGUGUGAUUGAGGCCUUGAGGAAAGGAAGCAAAGUAGACUGUUCAGAGGUGCAGAUUUGGACAGGAAAUUUAUAAUUUAGUGUUGACACAUUGUUAUAACGUGUUUAUAUUUUAGGCUGAAUCUAAGUAUGGUGAAGAUACAUUGUUGUAAAGGGGACCAUUGUUGUGUGUAAAACGGUGCAGUUUGGACAAGGUUUUCAGUGGGUUGAAAGGGUGAAAUUUAAGAUUGUUUGAAAUUUUGUGGGGCUGUUGUUUUCAUUUUAAUAGAGGAGUUUUGAUAAACAUGGACAUGUCUAAAAGGGC
Molecule: long non-coding RNA, 1798 nt
Organism: Oreochromis aureus
Lineage: Eukaryota; Metazoa; Chordata; Actinopteri; Cichliformes; Cichlidae
Source: Ensembl